This is a long non-coding RNA of Rhincodon typus (whale shark), 1298 nucleotides long. RefSeq lists it as uncharacterized. Lineage: Eukaryota; Metazoa; Chordata; Chondrichthyes; Orectolobiformes; Rhincodontidae. The transcript is spliced from 4 exons. The record is from RefSeq and is a predicted model, not a curated record.
CCCUCCCUGUUGUCAGCGUAAUGGUAGCUGCUGGCUGAAACGAAGCGCCGUUUCUGGGAUUCAUGUUCGAGGCUUGAUGAUCUUUUAUCUGAACUGGGGAAAGCUAGACAUGAAUUUGGUUUUGGGUGAAACGAGGAAAAAUAGGAACGGAACAAAACUGUUGUGAUCCAAGGACAAAAGCAAAAAACUCUAACAAACAUACCGGUCUAGAUGCAACACCGGUUCCAGUACUAGCUGAAUUCAUGGUUGCUUGUGGAGGUGGCUGGACACGGCCUGUAGAGAAAAACUAACCCUGGACUGACAGGUGCCCCUGGACCUUAUGGGGAGAGAAAAAAAGGAAAAUAUGUCUACAUAGAAACCAUUACAACAGACAUACCAAGGGCAGAAAACAGAAAAGUAAAUCAAGUCGAAACACAGUGAAUAAUACAGUAAAAUACAGUGAAAAGCUUCAACAGUCACAAACUAUCCAAAAUGGCACUGGAUUUUGAAGAGUGGAAAGGAUAUAAGAUAUAACAGAGUUCAGAGCUGGCCCACCAACGACACCUGCGCUGCAUAAUGGGAUCUGAAGUCAAAACUUUCCAACUUAUGGACAGGAGUCACUGAACCAAGGCUAACACCUAAAAGGCCUUCAACAAUUUUGAUGCAAUAGCAAGGUUUGGAACCAGGAAGCUUACAGAAACCACCACAGACUGAGACCUCAGGGACCACAUCUCCUGCACCUCCAUUCAAAAACUAGUUCAGUGAAGAAUGUAAGGUAAGCAUCCUGAGAGCUGUAUUAAGCACAUGAGAAAACCAGACAAAGUUGCAACUGAGGCUACGUAAAUGCCAAACAACAAAUUCAGUAUGUGAUAAAUUAGAAAAAAGUGAACCCACAACUAACAGGUCUGGUGAAAGUCUUGGUAAGCAGGCUAGUGGGGAGUGACUGGGCUGAAUCUCAUGAUUUUUUUUUAAGCUAAGUGCAUGUUGUGUCAAUUUUGAGGGAUACUCGCUGUGAAUUCCAGUGAGCUUUCUCACCUUCGCACUAUCUACUUCAUCCCAGGGCAUCCAUCACGUCUACUUUCUAGUCCUAUUUAACCAUGUACCAUUCCCAGAACAAUGCACCACUCAGUGGAUAGCCAUGAGAAGACCAGCAUUUCUUGCACUGACACCAUCUUUAAAAGGCUGUGGUCCUCAAGCACUAGCAAACUGCCAUGGUUCCUCCUUGGUGACGUAAUUGUACAACAGCCACAAAAGCACACUGGUCAUAAGACAUAGCCAGCAUGACACUUACUUGCACAUGCAACCCCAUUCUCUCACCA